This 2136-nucleotide long non-coding RNA is filed under the name Homo sapiens (human). RNAcentral's name for it is "HSALNT0292177". Lineage: Eukaryota; Metazoa; Chordata; Mammalia; Primates; Hominidae. The record is from RNAcentral.
CCCAGCAGUGCCGUGGAGCCGGGCCCCCAGCCCCUCCCAGCAGCCUGCUCCUCCACCUCUUACUGAGGUCUGGGGAGAAUGCUGGAGAGGUUUACUGUGAAAAACUGGAAAUAUUCACCACACCUGUUUAUUUAAAUCCUUCGCCUCCCCACCCCACCCCAGGGGCUUCCCCCUGGCACCUCCCCCUCAGGCCCGUCUGGGCCAUUUCUUAGGCCCGCAGCUGGCAUCCCUGCCACACCCUUCCCUUUGCUGCCCUCCUCUGGGAUGCCAGGCCCCUCACCUAUGCAAGCCCCUUGGAGGCCCGCACCUUGGUUUUUAAAUUUUGUGUUAUUUUUCUUAAAGAUGGGUCCCAAAUUAUACAAGCUUCAGACCCCACAAAGCCUGUGGAAAUGUCCUGCCUGCCAUCCCCGACUCCUCCACUGGGUUUUCUUGUCAAGGAAAAGACCUCACCAACCUCGUUCAUGCAAAAACUCUAGGGGUGACUUUCUACCUCGUCCUCUGCCUUGGCCCCCACCUUUGCAUCCGGUCGGGUCUGCCCCCAAAGUCCCCUCCAAGCCGUGCGUUUCCUUCUACCCCGCGUCACUGCCCGGGUCAAGGCCGUGUGGUCUCUCGCCUGGUUCCUGUGAAAGCUGCCUAGAAAACUUCCACGGCUGUCCCUGCUGGUGUGUCCAGCUCAGGAGGUCACAAGUCUGACCGUGCUCUGCCCAUUGCCCCUGGAAAGGGGCCGAACCCCUAGUGCCGGCUGAAAAGCCCCGUGAGACUGGCCCGUGUGCUCCUCUCCGCACAACCCUCAGCCCGGCUGCUCUUGCCACUCCCCCUCCACGUUUGUCAUCUUCAGGGUGCUCCCCACAAGUGCCAUGCCCUCAGGAGAGUCCUCCGCAGACUAGGCCGAGUGCCCCGAGCUACACUGCCUGGUUACUCUGUGAGCACUAGACUCGAUUGCAAGGAUAUCAUUGCUUGCUGUCUGCACAGCCAUGACCAGCCCCAUACAGGCUGACGGGCUUGUCUCCAUCCACCCCAGAGCCCACCGCUGCCGUGGCUACAGCAGGCACUCAGCAGACCUGGUAGGGAGAUGGGUGGACGGCUGGGUGACAAUGGGUAAUGGAGCUCUUCUCAUCUGGGCCAAAACGCCAGGUGUGCAGAGGGGCCGGGGCCUCGGUGACCCAAGUGUGUGAAACGAAAAUGUCUGAAAGUGCCUCUCGGCACAUCUGACAAGCAGUCCCCAAACUCAGCCUUUCUCAGGGCUGGGAACAUAAGAGAAGGGCAUCUACUGGCAGAACAAAAGAACCGGAGACCCUUGGACUCAACUCGCUGAGCGUUCGCUGCGCAUGUGUAACUGUCCGUGCAUCUGUGAACAUUUGUGUGAGUGUACUGAGGCAGGUCGUAUGAGGGUACCGAGGCAGGGCGUGUGAGUGUACUGAGGUGGGACAUGUGAGUGUACCAAGACAAAGAGUGUGAGUGUACCGAGGCGGGCGUGUGAGUGUACUGAGUGUGCGUGUGAGUGUACCGAGGCGGUGUGUAAGUGUACCAAGGUAGGGUGUGUGAGUGUACCGAGGCAGGGUGUGUGAGUGUACUGAGGCAGGGUGUAUGAGUGUACUGACACUGUGUGAGUGUACCAAGCUGGUGUGAGUGUACCGAGACAUGGUUUGUGAGUGUACCAAGAUGAGGAGUGUGAGUGUACCGAGGCAAGGUGUGUGAGUGUACUGAGGUGGGGUGUGUGAGUGUACUGAGGCGGGUUGUGUGAGUGUACCGAGUAGGCAUGGGUGUACCGAGGCAGGGUGAGUGAGUGUGACGAGUCAGGGUGAGUGUACUGAGGCAGGGUGUGUGAGUGUACCGAGGUGGUGUGUGUGGGUGUUUCGAGGUGGUGUGAGUGUACCGUUGUGAGAUGUGUGAGUGUCCUGAGGCAGUGUGAGUGUAACAAGGCAGUGUGUGUGAGUGUAAUGGGGCAGUGUGUGUGAGUGUACCAAAGCGGGGUGUGCGAGUGUACCGAGGAGGGGUGUGUGAGUGUACCGAGGUGGGGUGUUUGAGUGUACCGAGGCAGUAUGUGUGAGUGUGCCAAGGUGGUGUGUGUGAUUGUACCAAGGCGGGUUUUGUGAUUGUACCAAGGCAGGGUGUGUGAGUGUACCGAGGUGGGGU